This 71-nucleotide transfer RNA is filed under the name Opisthoteuthis sp. JN-2021. RNAcentral's name for it is "tRNA-Glu". The record is from RNAcentral. Lineage: Eukaryota; Metazoa; Mollusca; Cephalopoda; Octopoda; Opisthoteuthidae.
GCUUUUAUAGUGUAUAGCAUGAAAAAUUUUCAAUUUUUCGGAGUAAUUUUUAAUUAAAAUUAUUAAAAGUA